AAUUUUGUUGGUGAUUUAUCUUCAUUCCUCCAAUUUAUAGUAUACAUACUUUAUUCUUCUAUUGUAUUUGUAACACUAAUUCAAAUUAUGAUGGGUUUUACUUCAUGAUUUCACAAAUAAAUUCAGGUCUAAAUGUUUGCAAAAUCAGUUGAGAUGAAGGGUUGGUAAAAGUAUUCAAUGGAUUUUAUGAAAUUAGUUAGUUAUGUAAUUUUUUUAGAAGUUAAUAUAUAUUUUUUAAAGAGUUAUAUUUGCUGGUUGUUCCGAAUGAGAAUUGGGAUUAGCUUAUGGUAUGAUAUUGGUUAGUUCAUGAGUUUUGAUCAAAAUAUACAAAUAAAGGUUGCAGCUUUUUCUUCGCAAUAUGUAAUUUAGAUAUGGGUCUAUCAGUUGAUUGAUGAAGUUAUUAGAGUUAUAAUAUGUGUUGGAUUAUAAUAAGGGUGUGUGUAUAAGAGUUAUAAUAAUUAGUUCAUAAAGAGUUUAGAAAUAUAUAAUCAAGUUAAGAUUGUCAAUACGAAUUGUUCUAAAGAUGGAUACUAAUUUUUAUUGUUCCUAUGAGGUGAAUGAUUGUGGAACUUGAGUAUAACUUGGAGAUGGAUAUUGGAUUCUCGAAUAUAAUUUUGGAGUAGAAUGCUAUUUGAAGAUGCAUAGAGAGUUCAUUGUUAGUGAUCUUGCAGGUUCGUGUGUGGAAAGCUCGGAAUGGAGUAAAAGGAAGAAUUUAGUUAUCAAGGUUAUAAUUAGAUGUGAUGGUUCAGAGGUUGUAUUUAGGAUUAUAUAUCCUUAUUUGUGAAUAAAUUAUUAUAUUGCUUUAGAAGUCGAGCAAGGUAUUGUGUAAUAUGUUAUUUGGUUAUUGAGGAUGAUUUGUUGUGGGCCCUGACCCACAGGUCCAGGAUCGUUCUAUCGGUUAUGUUUCCGCUGCAAGUGAAUAUAAUUCGAGGUCAUUAAGCGUUAA
Beta vulgaris subsp. vulgaris (sugar beet) is the source of this 946-nucleotide long non-coding RNA. RefSeq lists it as uncharacterized. Lineage: Eukaryota; Viridiplantae; Streptophyta; Magnoliopsida; Caryophyllales; Amaranthaceae. The record is from RefSeq and is a predicted model, not a curated record. The transcript is spliced from 2 exons.